UUUAUGGAGAGUUUGAUCCUGGCUCAGGAUGAACGCUGGCGGCGUGCCUAAUACAUGCAAGUCGAGCGAACAGACGAGGAGCUUGCUUCUCUGACGUUAGCGGCGGACGGGUGAGUAACACGUGGAUAACCUACCUAUAAGACUGGGAUAACUUCGGGAAACCGGAGCUAAUACCGGAUAAUAUAUUGAACCGCAUGGUUCAAUAGUGAAAGACGGUUUUGCUGUCACUUAUAGAUGGAUCCGCGCCGCAUUAGCUAGUUGGUAAGGUAACGGCUUACCAA
Molecule: ribosomal RNA, 281 nt
Filed under: Staphylococcus epidermidis
Lineage: Bacteria; Bacillati; Bacillota; Bacilli; Caryophanales; Staphylococcaceae
Description: partial 16S ribosomal RNA
Rfam family: Bacterial small subunit ribosomal RNA
Source: RNAcentral